ACCGGGCUGGCUCAGUUGGAAGAGCGUGUGACUUUUGAUCUCAGGUCAUGGGUUCAACCCCUACGUUGGGUG
This 72-nucleotide transfer RNA is filed under the name Ailuropoda melanoleuca (giant panda). It matches the Rfam family "tRNA". Rfam says of the family: Transfer RNA (tRNA) molecules are approximately 80 nucleotides in length. Their secondary structure includes four short double-helical elements and three loops (D, anti-codon, and T loops). The record is from Rfam by way of RNAcentral. Lineage: Eukaryota; Metazoa; Chordata; Mammalia; Carnivora; Ursidae.